UUGUGUUUCAUUGACACUGCAGGAGUUUGUCAUGAUGGCUGAUGAGGUCUCCAUAUCGCCCACACAGGCAACAGAAGAACAAGUCAGAGUUUUGUCAGACUUUUAACUCAAGAGAGGAAUCUUUUCACGUGUACAUCAUUUUUAUGUCAAAUCAUAUCCUGAGUAUCUCCGUUAUACUUCCUCCAUUCUCCCUUGCUGACAUUAAGGUACAUUGACCCUGCUCUGACCUUGCAGACAUUUGAUGGGUAACCCUAAUUUACAUUCACAGUCAAGAGGCAGAAAGGACCAGAUGGGUCAAAGUGCCGGUGGAGACUGAUGAUAGGGAUGAUGUGAAGACAACAUUAAGGAAGUUGAGGAAAGACCUGAUAAUCUUCUCCUUUUCAGUCUAGCAUUUACAUGUAAAUGUAAAUGUCUAGCAAAGCCAUCUCCACUGCAAAUCUCAUGCCAUGAUCUCCGCUAUAAGACUGAAUAAAAGAUCAUCAACAAUGGCACGGCAGUAGUCUCCUAUUUAAGACGAGACAAGGCAUUCCUUUUAUCCUAUG
Long non-coding RNA from Micropterus dolomieu (smallmouth bass), 542 nucleotides. RefSeq lists it as uncharacterized. The transcript has 3 exons. NCBI's taxonomy places the organism in Eukaryota, Metazoa, Chordata, Actinopteri, Centrarchiformes, Centrarchidae. The record is from RefSeq and is a predicted model, not a curated record.